RNAcentral lists this long non-coding RNA (1414 nucleotides) under Homo sapiens (human). Its description in RNAcentral is "HSALNT0327747". Lineage: Eukaryota; Metazoa; Chordata; Mammalia; Primates; Hominidae. The record is from RNAcentral.
GAACAAUGAAGCGUGAGCUGGAGGGGAGCGAGCGGGCCGCCGGGAGCGCACUGUGUACAAACAGAGGCGGCGUGCGUAGAGGGAGGUAGGGAGAGAGACAAACACAGAGCUAGAGAAAUUGAAAGAGAAACAUUCUCGAAGGCAAAGAGUUGAAAGGUGAAUCUACUAAGAAAAGAAUAACAGAGUGCAAUUAGCCAUGGAACUACAUCUCCAUCUGCCUCCUUUAAAGGAUGAGUCCUUUAAAGAGCCUUUGGAAGGAAUUGGGCCAUGAGAAGAGCCCUCAUGAAUGGGAUUAGUUCCCUUAUAAGAAGAGACACCAAGGAAGUGAUCUUUCUCUGCCCUCUGCUAUGUGAAGACAAGGUCAUCUGCAGUUUUUUGUUGUUGUUGAUGAUCUUCCUGUCAUAGACAAUGCUGUAACAAACAGACUAUCCACAGGUUUUCUACUUUUUUGAGCUAAAUCGUGAUGAAGCAGAUGAUAAUCUGAGGCUCGCCUGCUAUAUUGUGAAAAUCCCUCUGUGCUUGUAAUAAAGGCUUCAUCUCCACAAGACCUAAAGUAUGUGUCGAGUGUAUAAAUGGAACUCUUUUUUAAAUGGAAAAUACCAUAUUACACUAAUUAUUUGUGUGAAUUACUCAUUUCUUUAUUUUAAUGUAAAGUAUACAUUAAGGCUUCUAGAAAAAGAAUUUUGUUUGUUUUCAAAGAUAAAGAAAAGCAAUACACUUUUGAAAUUAAUAGAGAAAAAAAUAACAUCUCAAAUAGAAUUGGGCUAGUAUAGUGCUGAUUAUCUCUCUCUGUUGUAUGGUUUAUGUUAUGUGUGGUUGUUUAGAAACAUCAUUUUACUAAUCUUUGGGAUAUUGUAUCCAAGGUAGCCUGCAGAGUUUUGCUGUUCAAUUUAUCUUAUCUUUAAUAUGGAUUUGUGGGCUCUUACAGCCAUCAGCUAUACUACGAAAAGGUCCUCUUUUGUUGCUCCUUUGUCAUUUACUUCUUGUUUCCAAUCCAUCAGCACAUCUUUUAUUGAGUUCCUGUUUUGUUAAAGGCAAGACUCUAAGGAAAAGGCAAAGAAUUAUAGGAAUUACAACCUGCCCUUUAAAAGCUCAUAGUCUGUGUGGGAGUGGAAGGACUAUAAUAUUUAAAGAGAAUUAAGAUAAUUUAAUAAGAAGUGUUUCAACAAUUAACAUUGAAGAUUUUGUUUUCAUUUUGUUACUUGUUUACAGGUUUUUACCUGGAAUAAAAUAUAAAUGUUUUAGUGCCCAUAGAUAAGAGAGGUGAUAGGGCAGUGAAUAACAUAAUAUGUGUGUCUAUAAUAUGGUUGUAGGUAUAGACUGUAUAUAGAAAAAUAAGAAGAAAAAAACAAAUUCUGAAAGACUCAGAAAUAAAUCUGUUACUGAAACUAUUUGGUGAAGCCUAAGCUAUUGA